GCUCGGAUGGUGGAAUCGGUAGACACGAGGGACUUAAAAUCCCUUGGCUAUUGCAGCUGUGUGGGUUCAAGUCCCACUCCGAGUACCA
RNAcentral lists this transfer RNA (88 nucleotides) under Bacteroidales bacterium. Its description in RNAcentral is "tRNA-Leu". It matches the Rfam family "tRNA". From Rfam's summary of the family: Transfer RNA (tRNA) molecules are approximately 80 nucleotides in length. Their secondary structure includes four short double-helical elements and three loops (D, anti-codon, and T loops). Further hydrogen bonds mediate the characteristic L-shaped molecular structure. tRNAs have two regions of fundamental functional importance: the anti-codon, which is responsible for specific mRNA codon recognition, and the 3' end, to which the tRNAs corresponding amino acid is attached (by aminoacyl-tRNA synthetases). tRNAs cope with the degeneracy of the genetic code in two manners: having more than one tRNA (with a specific anti-codon) for a particular amino acid; and 'wobble' base-pairing, i.e. permitting non-standard base-pairing at the 3rd anti-codon position. Lineage: Bacteria; Pseudomonadati; Bacteroidota; Bacteroidia; Bacteroidales. The record is from RNAcentral. RNAcentral also lists the same sequence under 1 other name.